UACCUGCAGCUCAAGUGGUGAUCGUUAUUAUUGGGCCUAAAACGUCCGUAGCCGGUCUUAUAAAUGCCUGGGUAAAUCGUAUGGCUUAACCAUACGAAUUCCGGGUAGACUGUUUGACUUGAGACCGGGAGAAGCUAGAGGUACUCCUGGGGUAGAGGUGAAAUUCUGUAAUCCUAGGGGGACGACCAGUGGCGAAGGCGUCUAGCUAGAACGGGUCUGACGGUGAGGGACGAAGCCCUGGGGCGCAAACGGGAUUAGAUACCCCCGGUAGUCCAGGGUGUAAACUCUGCUUGCUUGAUGUUAGUCUGGCUCCGAGCCAGAUUAGUGUCGGAGAGAAGUUGUUAAGCAAGCUGCCUGGGAAGUACGGCCGCAAGACUGAAACUUAAAGGAAUUGGCGGGGGAGCACAGCAACGGGUGGAGCGUGCGGUUU
Molecule: ribosomal RNA, 430 nt
Filed under: uncultured archaeon
Lineage: Archaea
Description: bacterial SSU rRNA
Rfam family: Archaeal small subunit ribosomal RNA
Source: RNAcentral